This 450-nucleotide ribosomal RNA is filed under the name uncultured bacterium. RNAcentral describes it as "bacterial SSU rRNA". It matches the Rfam family "Bacterial small subunit ribosomal RNA", at positions 354 to 796 of the family's 1533-position model. The record is from RNAcentral.
GUGGGGAAUUUUGGACAAUGGGCGCAAGCCUGAUCCAGCAAUGCCGCGUGCAGGAAGAAGGCCUUCGGGUUGUAAACUGCUUUUGUACGGAACGAAACGGUCCUGGCUAAUAUCCGGGGCUAAUGACGGUACCGUAAGAAUAAGCACCGGCUAACUACGUGCCAGCAGCCGCGGUAAUACGUAGGGUGCGAGCGUUAAUCGGAAUUACUGGGCGUAAAGCGUGCGCAGGCGGUGCUGUAAGACAGGCGUGAAAUCCCCGGGCUCAACCUGGGAAUUGCGCUUGUGACUGCAGGGCUGGAGUGCGGCAGAGGGGGAUGGAAUUCCGCGUGUAGCAGUGAAAUGCGUAGAUAUGCGGAGGAACACCGAUGGCGAAGGCAAUCCCCUGGGCCUGCACUGACGCUCAUGCACGAAAGCGUGGGGAGCAAACAGGAUUAGAUACCCUUGUAGUCC